GACGUAGGGGACGAGCGUUGUCCGGAUUCAUUGGGCGUAAAGCGCGCGUAGGCGGUUUGGUAAGUCGGAUGUGAAAACCAGAGGCUCAACCUCUGGCCUGCAUCCGAUACUGCCCGACUAGAGGUAGGUAGGGGAGAUCGGAAUUCCUGGUGUAGCGGUGAAAUGCGUAGAUAUCGAGAGGAACACCGGUGGCGAAGGCGGGCUCCUGGGAC
This 212-nucleotide ribosomal RNA is filed under the name uncultured bacterium. RNAcentral describes it as "partial 16S ribosomal RNA". It matches the Rfam family "Bacterial small subunit ribosomal RNA", at positions 524 to 735 of the family's 1533-position model. The record is from RNAcentral.